This is a long non-coding RNA of Aquila chrysaetos chrysaetos, 1675 nucleotides long. RefSeq lists it as uncharacterized. NCBI's taxonomy places the organism in Eukaryota, Metazoa, Chordata, Aves, Accipitriformes, Accipitridae. The transcript is spliced from 2 exons. The record is from RefSeq and is a predicted model, not a curated record.
UUUUACAAAGUCAUUGGAGGGCUAUUGUAUUUGAAGCCAGCAUGCUACCUGCAUCUAUGUUGUUUUGUACAGGAAGGAAAAUGAAAUUAGGUGCUAGGAUCAGAUUUUAAUCUAGGAAAUACUGAAGCACAAUUUGUCAUGUAUAUAAUGUGUGAUAAACUAAUGUAACAGAACCAGUCUUUGGAGAUACCUCACGACACUGUGAAGUUUAUUUGAUUUUUUUUUUUUUUUUUUUUGUUAGUGGGAAUAGUUUGAGUUCUUCAGCCAAUUUUUUUCACAAAAGAAGAGCUUUAAAAGAACUUUAUAUAUAAAAUGCUGAGGUAAUUGAUUCCAUAGAUAGUAAAUGGCUUUUUACAUGAGCCAAAGCUUUUCUCAUUUCAAGAUGUGACAAAACAUUUGCCAGAAAGAUCGUAUUUGUCAUAUCAAACUAGUUUUUCCAUUUCUGAUAAAGGCUUCAGAUCUCUAAUCCAGAGAGAUGCAUAGCAAAAGUAAGGAGUGCUAGAUUUGUUCUUUGAAUAAAAGAAGAUGAAAAUCCAUCUUCUUAUAUAUAACCAGAAAGAGAAAAACAUGUAUAUGUAAUCCUUCUCUUCUGCCUUGUUGCAUGUUUCUUAUAAUUAAAAUGUUUCUUGGCUUCUGGAAAUAUGUUUUUAGCUCCUCUGUGAUAAGCACUUCUUCUAUUUGUAUAUUAAAUUCACCUGGAAAGGAAAGCAAUGAUAUUUGCUUUGCAGAGGCUUAUUAUUAGAUUCCAAACUUGUAUGGCUUAAAUCAGAUUAAAAAAACUUAUCUUAUGACUUCUGAGUGACUCACGUUUUCUGAAGGCAAUAUCAAACCUUGAACUUCUAGAGUUCAUGCGGGAUGGUCACAAGCAUCUCCAGUUUUAAUUAACCUCUUUCUGGUUGGAGAGUCUGUUCACUCUUCCAGGAAAAAAAAUAAUCUAUUUAUUAGUGCCUCUAUCUCAUCCAAAAUAAAUGAGUUUCAUGGUGAACAUGACCUACUAAUUGAGCAUGAUAUGGCAGCCACAGUAUGAAAGUCUAUCUGCCUUUCCUCACUGGGGAGAAGAUUAAAGUCCAUCAGAGCCAAAAUCCUUAAAAUGCAGCCUAGCAAUUGUUAACUUUAGUUUGCUACUUUGAAUGCUUUUGACUUAAGAGCUGUUUUGAAGAAACACUGUAGAUUAAAGCUUGAGAGAGGGUCCACUGCUUUGGGUAUUUUUUCCUUCUGUGUACUUAGGUUUUUCUUGUGUGGAAGUGACAGAGGAGCGGUAGGAAAGGGAAUUAGGAAGAUGCGAUUGUGAAACUACACAAAAUGACAGCGGAGCUCUAAUAAGGCUGUAGUACACUAACUUCUGCGUUCUGAGAUUUUGGGUUUGUUUUCAGCUCCCAGAUUGUUCUCUACAGAAAUGCAAGAUGAAAAACACUGAAAACUCUUGUGCUUGAUGCCUCUGUGAAGUAAAUGUCAAUGCACUAAAGGUUUUUCAUUGACAGUUAUGUCUGAAUAAGUUAAAAUGAUUUUGCACUCUAUUUGCUGCUAAAUAUGAGGCUCUGUGGAGAUGGACUUAUAUUAAUUCAUAUGACAAAAAAAGCUCAAGUAUGACACUUAUUAAAAUCUUAUGCAACUUUACAGAAACCUUUUGGCUUACGUUUAAUCAAGUGAUAUGUCAUUGACCUUUAAUUUUUAG